GCUUUAAGGAAAGCUCUUUGUUUUUUGAAAGGGUGCUUUUAUGAGAUAGAGCUUUUUUAGAUAAUGCUUUUUUAGAUAAUGCUGGGGAAGGUUUUCCGGUUUAUCUCGGAGGGCUUGUAGCUCAGUUGGUUAGAGCGCGCGCUUGAUAAGCGUGAGGUCGGAGGUUCAAGUCCUCCCAGGCCCACCAAUUUACCUAUCCAUUUGCCUUUAUCCGUUUAUUUGCCGAUUUAUCGGUCCAUUGAAUUUAAGUGUUGGUAGCAGUUUUAUAAUGAUGAGAAAUCAUGCUUAUAAAAGAAUUCCUUAUAAAAGGCUUGUUUUUAAAAUGUGACGCUUAUCCAUUUCGCUUAGGCAAAAGAAACUUCAAGCGGUCAAAUGCAAAAGGCUUUAAAUUUUGCAAAACACUUUGAAUUUUAAAGUGAUCCAAGUUCGUGAUCUCGAAUUUAAAAGUUUCAAAUGCUUUAUCCUUUUUUGGGGGCCGUAGCUCAGCUGGGAGAGCACCUGCUUUGCAAGCAGG
RNAcentral lists this unclassified non-coding RNA (514 nucleotides) under uncultured Bartonella sp. RNAcentral's name for it is "partial 16S-23S ribosomal RNA intergenic spacer". The stretch from base 111 to 184 matches the Rfam family "tRNA". The record is from RNAcentral. Lineage: Bacteria; Pseudomonadati; Pseudomonadota; Alphaproteobacteria; Hyphomicrobiales; Bartonellaceae.